RNAcentral lists this ribosomal RNA (253 nucleotides) under uncultured bacterium. Its description in RNAcentral is "partial 16S ribosomal RNA". It matches the Rfam family "Bacterial small subunit ribosomal RNA", at positions 524 to 776 of the family's 1533-position model. The record is from RNAcentral.
UACGUAGGGGGCUAGCGUUGUCCGGAAUCAUUGGGCGUAAAGAGCGUGUAGGCGGUCCGGUAAGUCCGCUGUGAAAGUCAAGGGCUCAACCCUUGAAUGCCGGUGGAUACUGCAGGGCUAGAGUCCGGAAGAGGCGAGUGGAAUUCCUGGUGUAGCGGUGGAAUGCGCAGAUAUCAGGAAGAACACCGACGGCGAAGGCAGCUCGCUGGGACGGUACUGACGCUGAGGAGCGAAAGCGUGGGGAUCAAACAGG